RNAcentral lists this ribosomal RNA (875 nucleotides) under uncultured Campylobacterota bacterium. Its description in RNAcentral is "bacterial SSU rRNA". It matches the Rfam family "Bacterial small subunit ribosomal RNA", at positions 28 to 916 of the family's 1533-position model. The record is from RNAcentral. Lineage: Bacteria; Pseudomonadati; Campylobacterota.
AGUGAACGCUGGCGGCGUGCUUAACACAUGCAAGUCGAACGAGAACGGCCUUAGCUUGCUAAGGUGUCAGCUAAGUGGCGCACGGGUGAGUAAUAUAUAGUUGAUCUGCCCCUUGGAGAGGGAUAGCCAUUGGAAACGAUGAUUAAUACCUCAUACUCCUAUUGUCGUAAGGAUAAUAGGGAAACGUCUUUUCGCCAAGGGAUGAGACUAUAUCGCAUCAGUUAGUUGGUAGGGUAAUGGCCUACCAAGACAAUGACGCGUAGCGGGUCUGAGAGGAUGAUCCGCCACACUGGUACUGAGACACGGACCAGACUCCUACGGGAGGCAGCAGUGAGGAAUAUUGCACAAUGGGGGAAACCCUGAUGCAGCAACGCCGCGUGGAGGAUGACGCAUUUCGGUGUGUAAACUCCUUUUAUAGGGGAAGAUAAUGACGGUACCCUAUGAAUAAGCACCGGCUAACUCCGUGCCAGCAGCCGCGGUAAUACGGAGGGUGCAAGCGUUACUCGGAAUCACUGGGCGUAAAGCGCGCGCAGGCGGGCUGACAAGUUGGAUGUGAAAUCCUAUGGCUUAACCAUAGAACUGCAUCCAAAACUGUCAGUCUAGAGUCUGGGAGGGGAGGAUGGAAUUAGUUGUGUAGGGGUAAAAUCCGUAGAGAUAACUAGGAAUACCAAAAGCGAAGGCGAUCUUCUGGAACAGUACCGACGCUGAGGCGCGAAAGCGUGGGGAGCAAACAGGAUUAGAUACCCUGGUAGUCCACGCCCUAAACGAUGAAUGUUAGUCGUUGGAGAGCUCGCCUCUUCAGUGAUGCAGCUAACGCAUUAAACAUUCCGCCUGGGGAGUACGGUCGCAAGAUUAAAACUCAAAGGAAUAGACGG